This 67-nucleotide transfer RNA is filed under the name Anopheles parvus. Its description in RNAcentral is "tRNA-Ile". The record is from RNAcentral. Lineage: Eukaryota; Metazoa; Arthropoda; Insecta; Diptera; Culicidae.
AAUGAAUUGCCUGAUAAAAGGGUUACCUUGAUAGGGUAAAUUAUGAAAUUUAUGGUUUCAUUCAUUA